RNAcentral lists this ribosomal RNA (769 nucleotides) under uncultured fungus. RNAcentral describes it as "eukaryotic LSU rRNA". The stretch from base 1 to 241 matches the Rfam family "Eukaryotic small subunit ribosomal RNA", at positions 1593 to 1831 of the family's 1831-position model. The record is from RNAcentral. Lineage: Eukaryota; Fungi.
UUGCUCUUCAACGAGGAAUGCCUAGUAAGCGCAAGUCAUCAGCUUGCGUUGAUUACGUCCCUGCCCUUUGUACACACCGCCCGUCGCUACUACCGAUUGAAUGGCUCAGUGAGGCUUCCGGACUGGCCCAGAGAGGUCGGCAACGACCACUCAGGGCCGGAAAGCUAUCCAAACUCGGUCAUUUAGAGGAAGUAAAAGUCGUAACAAGGUCUCCGUUGGUGAACCAGCGGAGGGAUCAUUACAGAGUUGCAAGACUCCCCAAACCAUCGCGAACCCACCCCUAAACAGUUGCUUCGGCGGCGCCCGAAGGCCCUAGCGGCCGGACCGCCCGCCGGGGACCCCCCAAACUCUUGUUUCCAGCGAACGGCCUCUCUGAGUUACUGUACUGUAAUAAGUCAAAACUUUCAACAACGGAUCUCUUGGUUCUGGCAUCGAUGAAGAACGCAGCGAAAUGCGAUAAGUAAUGUGAAUUGCAGAAUUCAGUGAAUCAUCGAAUCUUUGAACGCACAUUGCGCCCGCGAGUAUUCUCGCGGGCAUGCCUGUUCGAGCGUCAUUUCAACCAUCAAGCCCCCGGCUUGUGUUGGGGACCUGCGGCUGCCGCAGGCCCUGAAAUCCAGUGGCGGGCUCGCCGUCGCACCGAGCGCAGUAGCACACUUCUCGCUCCGGGAGCGCGGCGGGCGCCUGCCGUAAAACCCCCCCACGCACCAAAGGUUGACCUCGGAUCAGGUAGGAAUACCCGCUGAACUUAAGCAUAUCAAUAAGCGGAGGA